UUCUUCUUUGUCUUUUUUCUUCUUCUUUUUCCUCUUUCUUUUCUUUUCUUUUCAGAAUUAUGGCUCUUGGGAUGAUGAGGGGAAUG
Molecule: non-coding RNA, 86 nt
Filed under: Paramoeba aestuarina
Lineage: Eukaryota; Discosea; Flabellinia; Dactylopodida; Paramoebidae
Source: RNAcentral